Molecule: ribosomal RNA, 286 nt
Filed under: uncultured bacterium
Lineage: Bacteria
Description: partial 16S ribosomal RNA
Rfam family: Bacterial small subunit ribosomal RNA
Source: RNAcentral
UGCAAGUCGAACGGAGCUUAGAGAGCUUGCUUUUUAAGCUUAGUGGCGAACGGGUGAGUAACGCGUGAGUAACCUGCCUCAAAGAGGGGGACAACAGUUGGAAACGACUGCUAAUACCGCAUGAGACCACAACACCGCAUGAUGAAGGGGUCAAAGAUUUAUCGCUUUGAGAGGGGUUCGCGUCCCAUUAGGUAGUUGGAGGGGUAACGGCCCACCAAGCCAACGAUGGGUAGCCGGACUGAGAGGUUGAACGGCCACAUUGGGACUGAGAUACGGCCCAGACUCC